GGUGAAUUUGAUCGCUCACAAGACAUUCACAAGAUGAUAUGUCUUCAGUGACUAAAGAUAAUAGUUCAUCAAAUGUACUUAUACUCAUACGGAAGUAGUUGAAAAACUUGUUAGGGUAUUCCCUUAAUUUUGGAUAUAGCGUCACAAAUGAACCCAUGGUUAACCGGUCAUCUAUUAGAGGAUGAACCCACCAUUCCAUGUGUUCGCACUUAGUACGUGGGUCCAACUGCCGGAUGCCUGCUGUCAUGAAAACGUCGACAAAGCGCGCGGUUGACGCACUCAUGUGUACGGUAUCACAAUUUCCAACGCGCGACAAACGCGGCGCUUACCGAGCGACAAACUUCGUCAUGUGUACAGGCCCUUAGUGCCACCGAUAAUCGGUGAAAACGGUUAUUGGUGCCAGAACUUGGAUUGUUUGGGUCUGAACUGUGUCAAUGAAACUGAAUUGAUCACAGUUUGGUAUAAUGUAAGCAGAUGCAGCACCAGAUAUCCACUUACCGGUACUUGAAAAACUGCAACAUAAAGAUUAUGCAUCCAAAUUUGCAGUGAUUUUAGUGGGUCACUAUUAAAAUGUGACCAAAAACAUACUCUAGAUCUUGUUAGAAGAAUUGUUAGCUUCAAAGAUAGAUCGGAGUGUUACUUAUGCCGUUAUAUUGAUGAAAAAGUCAAUUCAAUAACUCACAAUUCCUCGUUAGGAGAACAAAAAUGUUUUUGUUGACAGAAAAACACAGGGUCAUUAUCGAAAGUAGACUAUAAACUAUAGUGAGAUUCAAAAAGGGAUGGAAAAUACUUGACAUAUAUUAAAUAAUUUUUUUAAGAUCAAAAAGAAGCCUCUAGUAGGAUAAGCCUAUUAUGAUGCAUUUCCAAAACUUAUAAUAGCCUAGGUUAAAUAUAAAUACAUUGAUGAAAAUUUUACUAACUUAAAUAGCAUUGACAUUUUUCAAUUUAACUUAUACUUGAUUGAAAUUUGUCUAGGUUUAUUGAUUUUCCUACAGAUCAAGCAAAUUUUAGUUUAUCAACUUGUGCUUGAUAAAUUCUUAAACAACAAAAAAAGUAAAAAGUAAAUAAGGAGUUUUUUUAUUAGAAAAUAACAAAAGGAUAUUUGCAAAAAGCCUGACUACUACAUUGGAGAUUUAGGCCUAGAGAUCUUAAAAUAAUUAUGCUUAAUAACGCUUAUUAAGCUAUAAGUACUUGGAAAUAAUUAAAAACUAAUUAUUGUUCGUUAUGGUAAUUCUUGCAGCAGCUGUGUAAACAUAGCUAAGAUUAAUCUGAAUGAACUUACAACAUAAUAAAUAAGGUACCAUAACCUUGAAAAACUCCAAAGUAAAAAUUAUUUACCUUCGGCUUGAGAAGAAGAAUUAUUGAAGAGGUGCCCCGCACCGGAUAAUCCAACCAUCAUGUUAGCGCUUUUGUUUCAUUAGAAACAAAUAAUUGCUGUUUAGCAUUUAUAAACACAAAACAUCAACCAUUAAACGUAUUUCUUUUACGAAAGGCAUUGCAUCAGGACGUUGAUCUUGAAUAUCCACUCUUGUAGGGACGUUCCGACAAAAAUUUUUGUUUACUGAUAUCUUUUAAAUUGAAUAGAAUAAAAGUUUACAUUUUCUAUAACAAUAUCAAUUCAAAUAUUCAAAUCUACUUUCACACAAUUUUAAGUACAAUAUUCAAUAUCCAAAAUUAAUAGCUGAGUUUAUAUAUUUAUAUUUAUGUAAUGAAUUUCUCAGCCAAUCCAAUCCAAUUGCCAAAGCCGGAAACGCAUUUUAACAGCUGUUGUUUUUCUGGACAAUGGAGUUUGGAUCAGUUGAUGAAUCUACACCAUGUGGAUACACCCAUUUUCAGAACACACAGUAGCCGUUCUUUAGUUGUACGAUUGUGCAGUUAUUCGAUAAGUGUUGCUCAGUUGUACAUUUGUAACGAGCUUUUCUAUUGCUGAUUGAAACAGGUAUAAUUUGCUGUAAAAUUAUGAAAGUCAGUAACGGUUGUUACUGCAAACCUAAUUUGAAACUUGAACAUAACCCUCAUCAAAUACUUGUAUCUUUGAUGGAAUACUCUCUUCAAAGUGGGUUUCUUUAAGGGAAAAAUGUUUAAAUACCCACGAUUUGGUGCGAUAUCCAGUUAAAAUAUACCAGUUGUACUGUAUUUUACACAUAGAUGGCGGCGUCACAGACAAAUUUAAUUUUUAAAAAAUUAUUUGUACUUUUUUCAGCCCUACAGCCGUUGUGGGCUUUAGCCUGUUGCACAACAUUCCUCUAAGCAUCUCUAUCUACCACAAAUCUUCUCCAUCCUCUAUAGCCCAUCCUAAUGAAAUCAUUCCUAAUCUCACCUUCCCAUCGUAUUUUUGAUCUGCUAGUAAUUCUAUUGUUUCAGGAAAUAAUCAUGUUAUAGUAGCUAUAAUUGAAUAGCUCCAGUCAUUAGAUGGCAUGAUCAGAUGAACGUAAUGUGAAGGACCUUUGAAAUGUGUUAUCUGAGUUUGGAUGCAGAAUACAUCACAUCCCUGUAACAAGGAAAACCCCCACUACUGUAUCCAGCAUUGAUGGGUGUUACACAACUAUCAAACAAGAGGAGAUCGAGGUAAAAGCACAUUAUACACCACUGACAGACCACCAUUUGUUGCUAUGCAAAAUAAAAAAUAGAAGUAAAAGUUGCCACACAACCUACAGAUACUCUAGGAAUGUCUCAAGAAACAAAUUAACUGAACUAAAGCAUAUGUUAAAUACAACCAAUUGGGAGUCUGUCUAUAAACCAAAGUCUGUUGAAGUAAAAUAUAAUAACUCUCUACAAAUAAUGCGCCAGAGCCUUGACCACAUUAUGCCUCUAAAAUGAAUGUACCAAAUAAAAUUAUUUUUAUGGAUUGUGAGUUGCAGAGGAUGAAAGCCUCUCUUCAGAGUUUACAUGACAGAUUUGCUGACAGGAUCAACCGAAGACAAAGACAGGUUUCAAGAGUCAAAGAAAACCUAUGACAUUGAAGUGAAGAGGAAGAGAAUGGAUCACACAAUGAACAAAAUAAAAAAACUCAAAAGACAAAACCAAAGAGCUGUGGAAAACUGUGAAUGGUGAAAGAAAUAAGCAAGAUGGAAGGCCGUAACAGCAUAAGGCCUCUUCUGGAUGGUAAUCUGACAGCGGAUGCACUUGAAAUCAGCAAUAUUUUCAAUGGCAUCUUCACCUCACCUCAAGUAUCAAACCACACAAAUCAAUCACAAACCAGUACCACAUCUGAAGCUGAGCCCGACAAUGGUAUAUCAACUUUCUCAACCUUAAAAAAUGUCACACAUCACGAAAUGGAUGAACUUCUUAAUAAUUUGAAGUCUAACAAUUUGACAGGCUUUGAUGAAAUCUCUGGGAAGAUGCUGAAAUUCUACAAAGAAGAAGUCAUAAAACCUAGAUUGACCCACAUCAUCAACACCUCAUUGAGUCAAUCUAUUUUGCCUAGUACGAUGAAGUUUUCCAAAGUGUAUCCAGUUUUCAAGAAAGGAGACAAGCUUAAUCCAAGUAACUACAGACCAAUAUCAAAUUUGCCUGGAACUUCAAAGCUGACUGAGCGGGUGGUGUACAAAUAGCACAUCUGGAAAAAAAUGAACUGAUUUCAUAAUUUCAACAUGGUUUUAGGAAGGGGCGAAGUACAAACACAGCAAUAGCAUAUCUCUGCAGGGUGAUAAAUGAGAUCUGGGAGGAAAAGAGGAUAGCAUCAGGCCUGUUCCUAGACUUGCAGAAGGCAUUUGACAACUGAGACCAAGAUUAAAUCCUAAUCAAAAAAUUGAAACAGCUAAACAUUCAGGGACAAGUCAUAGAAUGGAUCCAAAACUAUUCCACUGAAAGGUAUCAGUAUGUUGAAAUCAGUUAUCAGCAGAACACAGCCUUGACUAGUGCCAAAUCAUCUCUUUGCAAAAUAUCCAAAGGUGUUCCUCAAGGGACAAUCCUAGGACCCUUGUUCUUUCUCAUUUACUUAAAUGACUUCCCAAAUAAUCUCAAGAAGGACCAAAAAUGUGUACCAUUUGCAGAUGAUACCACCAUAAUAAUCCCAUCAGGCAGAGAAUCCGAAAGCAACGAUAUAAGCUCGACACUUGAAAUGGCCACAAAUAUAUGUAGGAAACUGAAGCUAUCAUUCAAUAAAGACAAGACAGUAAAUAUAAACUUCACUCCAAAGGGACAAAUAUUCAAUAUAGACGACAAUGUAACCAAUGAACCAACAAAUACAAAGGAUUGUACAAGAUUUCUUGGUAUCAUGAUGGACAAGAACCUGAACUGGAGUGAACAUAUUGACCUUUUGUGUAAGAAAUUAGCUUCAGCCACAUAUGUACGUCGCUCAUAGAAUAAGAUGUACCACUGAUGUCAGUACCACAUUUAUCGCCUAUCAUGCCCUAUUUGCCUCACAGCUGCGAUAUGGCAUUGUUGCCUGGGGAGCAUCAGCACAGGUGCACAUGGACAGAGUCCUACAAAGUUAGAAAAAAACCUUACAAACCAUCCUAAGAAGAGAUGCACUGGAGCAUUGUAGACCAUUAUUUGUCAAAAACAAACUGCUUACAGUGAUCUCAAUCUACAUACUUGAAACCAUGUCCGAAUCUCAGAAAUAGCCAUCACACGCAUAAGACAGCAAGCUGAACAUUGACCUUCCGCAACACAGGCUCGGCAAAUUCAAGAACAACUUAUGCAGGCUCACAUUUCUUCAACUAUCUACCGGACAGCCUAAAGAAUUUGAGGGAUUCACGGACAACAUUCCACAGAAAGCUGAAAAAUACCUCAUUGCAAGAUCGUACUAUGCAGUGACCGAAUUUAUUGAGGAGCAUAUGUACCACCACCUUAGAGUAUAGUGCAAGAUCCUCUAUACACCUUCUUGACGACUCUGACAGAGGAGACCAUCCAUUGACGAUUCCCCGAUUCCAGGACCGUGAGGAAGACAUCAGAAGAAAGAAGUAGGAAACACUUCAAAAGCUGCGCCACAGUAGCCGCGAGAUUGACUCCCGACGAGCGACAACCGCAACCGCUUGAACCAACAAGGCUUAGGAAGUUUAUUGAAUAACCUCUUUCCAAAUUCAACAAAAUUUAACAAUUUUAAAUGGUGAAGAAGAGAAGACAAAAUUGAAAAAUGAAAUGUUAUUGUUGCAGAAGAAAGAUGGUGAUUUUAGAAGGAAAAUAAAAAGUCAGAAUGAGAAGAUCAGUAAGUUAAAAUUGGAUGAGCAUAGUCUAGCUGAUGAAAGAAAGCUUUUUAGAUCGAUGGAGGAGAAAAACCUUCAAAAUAAAUCCAACAAAGAAGAUGAGCUGCUGAAACUAGUGAAAAAACUGGAUCUGGAAGGAAGAAGUUACUCACUGAUGAAAUUUCAAGGUUAAGCUUAUCAAUUGAAAAAUUGAAAGAAAGAGAAGCUGGAGUGUUGAAUGCUCAAUCUCGAAGGGCUGAGCUGAAAUAUGAACCAGUAAACGGAGAUGAGUAUACUAGUUUGCAGAAUGAGCUGAAAGAUCUUCGUAAUGAUAUUCUAACAAUCACAAAUGAAAUAUCGACUUUGGAGAGAAGAAAUAGUACAGUGGCAAUGGAUGUUGAUGUGUGUCUAAAUAUCGGCUCAAAGAAUAAAAGAAGCGAUCAGCUCGAGGACGGUUGUCAAUCACCUUGCAGCACUCAUUCAACAGAUUCUGUUGUCAGCACUUCAGCAUUCAACCAGUAUCGCGAGAACGCCGAACAACAAACAAUAAAAGGACACAGACUAGAACAGGAGAAUCGUCAGGGAAAGUUCAAGCAUAAAAUGUUUUUGGAGAAAUCAUUAACACAGGAGCAUAAAACUCAGGAAUCGAUCACGCCAAAGGUAGCGAGUAAAUCUCAAACAUUCGUCUUCAAACCUCCCAAGUACUUCAAGCAGAGUCAACCGAAGUGAGUUUAGUUUAUACAGUACUCGCAAAAUGAAAAUAUGGAGCAUAUUUUUAUGAGUGAUGUAUUACCAAGACUUUCAUACUGAAUUGAUUCAAAAGGAGGCCUCUAUUAUCAUGUUACGACUCUGCAUUUAAAGCAUGUUAAAAAUGAUGGAGAAUUAUCCAAUAGCAUACUAUAGUUGUGAUAAAUGUUUUUUGAUCCCUCAUCACUCUGACAUCUAUGAUAUUUAAUAUUAAAGAUCAAUAAUAUUUAUAGAAUGAGAGUCAUCUUUCCCAUUCAAUUCAGUUAGGUUCAGAUGAAGCUUGCAUAAACAAACACAGCGAUGUUUGAAUUUUCCUCUCAGAUUCGAUGAAUAAUUAAUUCUUUUAUUAUUCUUAUAAAUUAUAAAUCGAUUAUAAAGUUUAAACUCAAAAGUUGAAGUACCAGCAGGGUAGGAGAUAGCUUGUUGAAAUUCAUUAACUCAUAGAAUAUGUGAAUUUAUUCUUUCUCAAAUCUUUUUCUCCUGGUUGCUUCUAAUCUUUUUCUCAAAUCCAUCAAUUCUUUAUCCUCCUCAAUAAUUUUUUUCGGGCGUGACAAUGUCUUUUGUGCUUGCUCUCUUGAAAGUUUUCUGAAAUGAUUCGAUUUAAGUAACUUUAAUAACUCCUACUAAGUUAUACUUUCUUGGUAAAAAAUAAAGUAAUAACAUUAGAUAAGCUAUAGUUAAAAUAGUCAAGAAUCAUUCUGUAGUAUGAACAUCAAAAUAAUAUGAGGUAUCAUUUUUUCAAGAUAAACUUUUUGAUUUUGUAUGUAUUAUAUUUAUUGUAUUGAAGUGAAUGUAUUAUGUGUAUUAUAAAAAGUAUUAUCAAGAAGGCUUAACACACUACCAUUGACUGAAGUGUUGGAACUUAUGAUACUUCAAUAAGAUAUGAAGAAUUCAACAGUGGCCCAAAUUAUGCUAUUGAUAGGCUACUAAUGAAAAUUAGGAUUAAUAUUUUUCUUGUGUCUGAGAUAAUAAACUUUUGUAUUUUAAUAAGAAUUUUUUUAUUUCGAAGUCUGAUGAUACAUUUGAAAUCAACAAAUUAUCAUCCACAAACCGUUCGUGAUGUGUGACAUCAAUUAAUGUCUCCAUCUCUUUGAGCAUUUCCUGUUGUCGAAUCUUUUCUUGUUUAAUUCGUAGUUGCCUUUGUUCAAGUUGUUCCUUCAUUUCCUCUCUCAACAAUGCCAAACGCUCAGUCAACUGUAAUACAGUAUCAAGAGAAAAGUAUUCUAUGGAAAAAUUGGAAUUAUUAAUUUUAUUGAAUAUAUUAUUGACCCCUGAAUAGGAAUGGAACAUAACAUUUUUAUGAUAAAAUAAAAUAAAUUACAGAUGCACUUAUCAUGAUAUUCAUGAAUUAGGUUUAUUAUUACUGCUGAGUUUACUGAAGUAAACAUUGUUAUUAUGUCUUCAACUUUCUAUUAAAAAAUAUUAGUCACUUAGAAAUUAGUUUGGCAACCGUUCUGCAAUUGUAUGUUAGUUCUAGUUAGGUAAAUGUGUUCGGUAGCUGAACCAUUUACAUAUUCGAUCAUUGAACUAAAUUUUAUAACGUUUUUCAGCCAUUUUUAUUACAUUUUCACUUUGAAAUUAUAUUAUGUAGGCUCACCAAUUUCGAAUUUUCAAACGAGAAAAAGAUUGACAUACUGCAAAAGGUACUGUAUAGUGUAAUUUACAGAUUUGAAUGUAUCAGAAUAGAUUCGUAUCUAAUGACAUCUUACCUCAAGAUAGGACAUUUCACAAAAUAAACCCAUGUUCAUGGUUUCAGUUGCAUCAAAAUCUUUCUUUGGUAUGAUACGCAAUGACUGAAGAAGUCUUAUCUCCUUGAUCAUGACCAUUUUCUUAUUAAGCUCAUCUUGUUGCUUGAAUUUGAUUGGAACAUUGAAAGAAAAAUAAAUGAAUGAGAAAUCAAGCAUGAAUUUGUAUUAGCGAAUAAACUUAUUAUAGUGAUGUAGACGAUUGGUGAAAUAUUUAAUACCGUGAUAAUAAUGCUUACCAAAUAGAUGAUCAUUUUUCAUCAAAAAUAUAUUCUUUUCUUUGCUGAGGGUGAUGCCCACAUCAGCUCUAGGCUUGUGCGUGAGUAAUGCGGAUGGUAAUAAGAGAUAAUGGACAUACCGUUUUAGGUGUCGUUCGUACUACCGGGAAGGGAUUUUUCAAUUCAUGAAUCAUAUUCAUAAGAGUUGGCUCAAGUGGUCAUCCUCCCAACGUGAAUGUUAGGCGCAUGAUUAUUAGAACUUAACUCGGGCAGCGUGACUAGAGUCGUCGCGGCUGGAGUAUCUCGAGUCGUCGCUAAAGCUACGUUCACAUUGGUCAAGUUCCCUUCAAUUCAAGUUGUUGACGUUUGAGUUGAAUGAGCGAUUUUGAAAGCUUGUCAAGUUUACCUCAAUAAUUCAAGUUUUCUCCUUCAUCUGCAUCAUACUCUCUUAUUUAGUUGUUUUUAUAUAUUCUACGUUGACUGACAACUGUUCUGUCUCAUUUUACAAUUUGUAGGUUGGAUUGUACCUUCAAGAUUCAAGUUUAAUCUAAAAGUCAAACUUCUUCAACAUCCACUUGAAUCAACUAUACUAUCUAUCAUUGAUUAUAGCGGAUCCAAAUUUCUGUCCUUGUGAACUUGAGUUUGCAAAACAAAUUCAUUUUACACAAACGUCAAGAAAACUUGAAUUCAAGGAAACUUGACUUAUGUAAACACCCCUUGAGGAGUUGCACCUAUAGCUUAUGAGCGCGACCACUGAGUUAAACCGCUUCCCUAUACUGAAACUACAAUUAUGAUAAUAAAUCUAUCAUUUCCAAAUAAUUCACCAGAAUCGAACAUACAUCAGCUUCUUAGAAAUUGUAAUGUUAAACGGGUAUUCUUUAUUGAAGUUCAUUACAGAUAACAGUAAAAAUUAUUCCAAAAUAUUCUAUGAUUUGUUUCGAUUUCAUAAAUGUGAUUUUUCCUUAGGCUAUGCAGGCUUUAAGUAUAAAGUAUUCAUUAAUAUAAUGAAUUUCGAUUGAACUUAUAUACCGAAUGUGUGCUGGGAAAUAUUGUUUUAGCAAAGUGUUGUUGUUAGGCUAUUUGCUUUUACAAUAGGCAUUAGAGUCAUUGUUAGUUUAUGUGUUGAACAAUAAAAAUAUAUUUUCAAACUUUUGGGAGCCUGGUAUUCGAGAUAAUAUAAAUCAUUAAUAUUUUUUUCAACUCUUUACUCUUUGAUUUACGCAAUGAAAUAAGAUUUC
RNAcentral lists this unclassified non-coding RNA (9077 nucleotides) under Nilaparvata lugens (brown planthopper). RNAcentral's name for it is "spindle pole body component 110, transcript variant X9". Lineage: Eukaryota; Metazoa; Arthropoda; Insecta; Hemiptera; Delphacidae. The record is from RNAcentral.